This 387-nucleotide ribosomal RNA is filed under the name Triticum aestivum (bread wheat). RNAcentral's name for it is "partial small subunit ribosomal RNA". Lineage: Eukaryota; Viridiplantae; Streptophyta; Magnoliopsida; Poales; Poaceae. The record is from RNAcentral.
AUGGUGAGCAAGAUGCCCAAGGUCAUAUGGCUGACAGGCACCUUCAAUGAUUCCAUCAAGGAGUGGCAGCAGCAGUGGUUCUAUAUCACCGAGCCGCGCGGUAAAAAGUGGGCCGCUGCUCCUGAAUUCAGGUCUAGAGCCCCCCUGCGGCUCACGUCCUGGCCCAAGAAGGGCCUGGACUGGUCCUCAUCCGAUGAGCUGUCGGUGCUCCAAACACGCGUCAAGGGCGUGGUAGACAAGGAUGUCAAACUCGUCAAUGUAGUCCAGGUGAUGUUAGUUCACCUGGUUCUCCCUUGCCAGCACCAAGCCUGUAAUUUGUGGGAAUACGACCCGGCCGAGCACCAGACCCUACGGGAGCUCUAUGGCUCCUCACACAAGGACAUCUAG